RNAcentral lists this ribosomal RNA (405 nucleotides) under Bacillota bacterium. Its description in RNAcentral is "Firmicutes bacterium partial 16S ribosomal RNA". It matches the Rfam family "Bacterial small subunit ribosomal RNA", at positions 355 to 776 of the family's 1533-position model. Lineage: Bacteria; Bacillati; Bacillota. The record is from RNAcentral.
UGGGGAAUAUUGUGCAAUGGGGGAAACCCUGACACAGCGACGCCGCGUGAGCGAAGAAGGCCUUCGGGUCGUAAAGCUCAAUAGUAUGGGAAGAAAUAAAUGACGGUACCAUACGAAAGCCCCGGCUAACUACGUGCCAGCAGCCGCGGUAAUACGUAGGGGGCGAGCGUUGUCCGGAAUUACUGGGCGUAAAGAGCACGUAGGCGGCUAUAAAAGUCAGAUGUGAAAAACCUGGGCUCAACCGAGGGUGUGCAUCUGAAACUAAAUAGCUUGAGUCAAGGAGAGGAGAGCGGAAUUCCUGGGGUAGCGGUGAAAUGCGUAGAGAACAGGAAGAAUACCAGUGGCGAAAGCGGCUCUAUGGACUUGAACUGACGCUGAGGUGCGAAAGCGUGGGGAGCAAACAGG